Molecule: unclassified non-coding RNA, 2307 nt
Filed under: Hevea brasiliensis (rubber tree)
Lineage: Eukaryota; Viridiplantae; Streptophyta; Magnoliopsida; Malpighiales; Euphorbiaceae
Source: RNAcentral
UCCAACAUCUACAAAAAUAAUAAUUUCAACCUGCUCUAAGGCAAGCUCUUUCAAAUCCAAAUGUGAAUCAAGUAAAAUUUUAAUUCAAACAAAACAAACUCCAAUGCUGGCUUGUUCAUUUUGUUUGCUGGCCCAUACAAUGUUGCAUGUUAGUCCAAAUGGAAAAGCCGGAGUAGCGUAUUUAAAAAAUUUUCAGUAGAGCAUUUUACAUCCUCUGCAACGCCCAAAUAACUCAUUUUACAGUGAACUUGCAAAAGCUAUGAUCUAACAAGGACAUUCCAUGUCGAGUUGUCUCACCGCUAAAUGGGAGAAAAUAAUCCUCAAAUCACAAAUAAACAAAAUUAUUACAAAUGUAAAUCAGUGCUGAAUUGCCACAGGAUUGGAUAGGAGAGAAGUGAGGGAUUGUCAGCAAACACAUCACCAAUUCAUAAACCCAUUCAAAACAUGACUUCGUUGUAGUCUUCACGACAAAUAUUAACGUCAAACCCCUCAAUGCAAAUCCAUACACCCUCUAAACCAAAAACAACACAGUGCAUUAGUAUCUUCUCCUAGGACUCCUUGACCGAUGUGCUCGUCCUGAUCUGCAAAAAUUUAAACAGCACCGGGUUAUAUUCCCAGCCAAACAUGAAGAAAUAACAGAUAAACCUGUGAGGUGCUCAGGAUCUCAAGAAAGUCAUGUACAUACAUAGUCAAAAGACAACUCCUAUCAACACAUAAAAAAUGAAGCAUAUUGUAUCCAUUAUGCAGUCCACCCCUUUCUGGGCCACAUGUCAUGCACAGGCUAAGAGAUUUGCUUAAUUGUCCAGCACUGAAUCUAAGCCAUAAUCACCCAAUCCAAGAACUUCCACAUUCACAAAGUUGAAAGAUUUUUGAGCAUGUAGAUUAGCUUAGGCCUAAAAAGCCCCAUCAUUUGGAGAAAACUGCUUAUAUGGCCCUUCUGCAAAUUCUACUUUCCGGAACUAUAUGCAGGCUUAUACAUAAUUUAAAUUAUUAAAAAAGUUUAUGAAGAUGGAAAAUCCUAAAUUUAACAUGUUUAUCAUACUUCUACAGUUAGUAUAAUCAUUACUGGAGAGAUCUUUUUACCAUUUCACAGACAUUUUCCCUCUUAAUAACAGAGCAAAUACAAUUUAUACAAACAAACCUCAUGUUCUUUCUUCUGAUGGGUCCAUUGAUAAAUGCCCAAUCAACAUUGAUGAUCUGUGUCAGAAGUUCAGUUCCAUUCAUUGCAGCUAUUGCAUUCUGUGCUUCCUCAAAUUUCUCAUAUUCUAUCAGUGCAUAACCCUUAACAAACCCAGUUCGGCGAUCAAGAUUUAAAUGCAAAUUUUUUAUCUCACCAAAAUCACCAAAAGCAUUUUGCAAAUCAUCCUCUUGUGCCUCUUCAUGCACUCCAGUGACUAAAAUAAUCCAUCCUUCAAUAGCUACAAAGUUUUACAGGAAACAGAAAGUUUUUUGCUUACUACAAAUGUGAAUAGACGAAUUCAAUUGAAUAGAUUAUGGAAUUGCUAUCACCAGUUUGGAGGGAAAGAACAGUUAGAGUAACAAGUAAGAAAUCUUUGGCCAACAACAAAGCCUUAUUUUUUUCCAACAGAAUGAGGACUUCUAAUAUGAGUAUUAGGGUAUUAGGAUUCAGACUUCACAGUAAAUAGAUUUAUGAAUCAUCCAGAAUACAUGGAUGUUUUUAAAAACUUCCAAUUAGAGGAGCAAAUUUGGUAGGUUUAUGCUCAACUAACUUUGAGGUCGCAGUAGUUUCUAAAGCUUUAACUAAAGAGUUUCCUUGUCUUGAAGACAGGCAACAUACCUCCAUUCUCGACUUUGCAAGGUGGGAGGACAGAUCCUAAAAUUCAAGCAACGCAUCUUUGUAUAUGCAAGGGGGUACUAGGUUUCUGGUGGAUCAUGUAUAUGACUAAGCAAACUUAGUAUUGCUGGUCUGUAGCACAUCUGCUCCAUUACAUUUCUCUAACAGAAAAUCUGACUUCCACUUCAUUCUAGUCAUUUCCACUUACAGUUACCUAAAUCUCCUAGGCUAGUCUCCUAAUUUUUACUUAAUCAGAAGUGAAUGCAUAGUAAACCCCAUCAAAACCCUAUAUCAUCAUUAUCACUCAGAUUAUAACCUAAAGCCCAAUAACGAAUUAGAAUAGUUAGGUAUCUAACCGAGAUCAAUUGGUUUUUAUGAAACUCAUUGUUCAACUAGGCUCUUCAUAAAUUUACCUACCACAGAACUCAAAAUACAUCGAAAAAAAAAAACAGAUGAACAAUAUGCAAACGUAUUAGAAAGGGAUAAGAAUACUAACAUCGCUGAGGGCCAGG